AGAUUGAACGCUGGCGGCGUGCCUAACACAUGCAAGUCGAGCGGCAGCGCGGUAGCAAUACUGGCGGCGAGCGGCGAACGGGUGAGUAAUACUUUGGAAUCUUCCCAGUAGUGGGGAAUAACCAGUCGAAAGAUUGGCUAAUACCGCAUACGUCUGAAAAGGGAAAGCGGGGGCUCGUAAGACCUCGCGCUAUUGGAUGAGCCAAAGUCGGAUUAGCUAGUUGGUGGGGUAAUGGCCUACCAAGGCGACAAUCCGUAGCUGGUCUGAGAGGACGACCAGCCACACCGGAACUGAGACACGGUCCGGACUCCUACGGGAGGCAGCAGUGGGGAAUAUUGGACAAUGGGGGAAACCCUGAUCCAGCGACGCCGCGUGUGUGAAGAAGGCCCUAGGGUUGUAAAGCUCUUUUGUGCGGGAAGAUAAUGACGGUACCGCAAGAAUAAGCCCGGCUAACUUCGUGCCAGCAGCCGU
Molecule: ribosomal RNA, 471 nt
Filed under: uncultured bacterium
Lineage: Bacteria
Description: SSU rRNA
Rfam family: Bacterial small subunit ribosomal RNA
Source: RNAcentral